AGAGUUUGAUCAUGGCUCAGGAUGAACGCUGGCGGCGUGCCUAACACAUGCAAGUCGAACGCCCCGCAAGGGGAGUGGCAGACGGGUGAGUAACACGUGGGAACGUGCCCGAAGGUUCGGAAAAUUCCCGGGAAACUGGGAGCAAUACCGAAUGUGUCCGCAAGGAGAAAGAUUUAUCGCCUUCGGAUCGGUCCGCGUUUGAUUAGCUAGUUGGUGGGGUUAAAGCCUACUAAGGCGACAAUCCAUAGCUGGUUUGAGAGGACGACCAGCCACACUGGGACUGGGACACGGUCCAGACUUCUACGGGAGGCAGCAGUGGGGAAUCUUGGACAAUGGGCGCAAGCCUGAUCCAGCCAUGCCGCGUGAGUGAUGAAGGCCCUAGGGUUGUAAAACUCUUUCGCCGAGGACGAUAAUGACGGUACUCGGAGAGGAAGCUCCGGCUAACUUCGUGCCAGCAGCCGCGGUAAUACGAAUUGGGCUAGCUUUGUUCGGAUUGACUGGGCGUAAAGCGCGUGUAGGCGGACUCGUAAGUUCCGGGUGAAAUCCCGAGGCUCAACCUGGGAACUGCCUCCAAAACUACAAGUCUGGAGCAAGAUAGAGGCAAGUGGAAUUGCGAGUGUAGAGGUGAAAUUCGUAGAUAUUCGCAGGAACACCAGUGGCGGAGGCGACCUGCUGGAUCUUUGCUGACGCUGAGACGCGAAGGCGUGGGGAGCCAACAGGUUUAGAUACCUUGGUAGUCCACGCUGUAAACGAUGAGAGCUAGGUGUCGGCACGCAUGCGUGUCGGUGACGCAGCUAACGCAUUAAGC
Molecule: ribosomal RNA, 808 nt
Filed under: uncultured bacterium
Lineage: Bacteria
Description: bacterial SSU rRNA
Rfam family: Bacterial small subunit ribosomal RNA
Source: RNAcentral